RNAcentral lists this ribosomal RNA (677 nucleotides) under uncultured marine benthic group D euryarchaeote. RNAcentral describes it as "bacterial SSU rRNA". It matches the Rfam family "Archaeal small subunit ribosomal RNA", at positions 321 to 999 of the family's 1478-position model. The record is from RNAcentral. Lineage: Archaea; Methanobacteriati; Methanobacteriota.
CCCUAUGGGGUGCAGCAGGCGCGAAAACUUCACACUGCGCGAAAGCGCGAUGAGGGAAUCCCAAGUGUUUGCACGUAAGUGUAAACUGUUUCUUUGUUUAAAACGCAUUGAGAGUAAGGGCUGGGUAAGACGGGUGCCAGCCGCCGCGGUAAUACCUGCAGCUCAAGUGGUGGCCGCUAUUAUUGGGCCUAAAACGUCCGUAGCCGGUUUAGUAAAUGCCUGGGUAAAUCGUGCCGCUCAACGGUACGAAUUCUGGGUAGACUGCUAAGCUUGAGACCGGGAGAGGCUAGAGGUACUCCUGGGGUAGAGGUGAAAUUCUGUAAUCCUAGGGGGACCACCAGUGGCGAAGGCGUCUAGCUAGAACGGGUCUGACGGUGAGGGACGAAGCCCUGGGGCGCAAACCGGAUUAGAUACCCGGGUAGUCCAGGGUGUAAACGCUGCUUGCUUGAUGUUGGUUGGGCUCCGAGCCCAAUCAGUGUCGGAGAGAAGUUGUUAAGCAAGCUGCCUGGGAAGUACGAUCGCAAGAUUGAAACUUAAAGGAAUUGGCGGGGGAGCACAGCAACGGGUGGAGCGUGCGGUUUAAUUGGAUUCAACGCCGGAAAACUCACCGGAGGCGACGGUUACAUGAAGGCCAGGCUGAUGACCUUGCCAGAUUUUCCGAGAGGAGGUGCAUGGCC